This 2524-nucleotide long non-coding RNA is filed under the name Citrus maxima (pomelo). RNAcentral describes it as "long non-coding RNA (CMAX_LNC002499)". Lineage: Eukaryota; Viridiplantae; Streptophyta; Magnoliopsida; Sapindales; Rutaceae. The record is from RNAcentral.
UAAAUUUUAUAUACGGUAGUUAAUAAAUUAAAAAAUAAAUGUAGCUAAAUCCUAAUGAUAUACUCGUACUAAAAUACAUGUGGCACAAAAUUUGUGAAAGAUAAGAGAGCUUAAAUUAGAAAAGGAUCUUAAUCAUAAUUAUAACUAGAGAUAUCAUCCUCUCUCUCUAUGAAUAUAAUUGAAUAAAAGUAUAAAAGUCUUAUGUUUGCAAGUGUAUAGAACCAUGACAAGUAGAUGAAGUUGUCUCAAAUCCCUUGAGCCCAAUAUUGGCUCAAUUCCAAUACAAAAGAUUACCAUCAAACAAAUGCUUAGGUGCUUUUGGAGAUUUAAAAAGCAACUUUUAAGCACCAUAAUUCGUUUAGGAGUCUGCCUGCGAGAGAAUGUUGUCCGUGGAAGACAAGGCUUAGGCUUUCUGGUUUUUGGUGAUCGCUUACUGGUGGAGUUGCGGCGGCCACAAGCUCUCGUUCAUCUUACCAGUCUACAAGAAAGAAGGCAACGACGGCUGUCUUUGAGCUUAAUCACGGAAGAAGUAUUGAUCUAUUUGUAGUGAAUUCAUAAUUCUAAAUUGUAUUUCACUAAGAUAUAAUUAAACAAAGGAGAAACAAAAUGAUCAUUUAAACUUCCAAUUCACCUCAGUGUAUAAAAUAAAGAAUGGAUAGCAAACUAACAAAUUGGAUAGCAAACUAACAAAUUACAAUUUUGAUGUACAAUGAGUUAUGUUUAUGGGUGAUAAAGAUUCACAAAAGUAAAUUUUUAAUCAAUCUUUACGAAUGAGAAAUUACAUGAGGUAGCCAAUUCAUUGUAUAAGAUUAGUUUGGAAAUCAAUAAAAUGUGUGUAUGUAUAAAUACAGAGAUUAGAAUAAUACAAUAAUGAUAGAAUAUAUUUAUCUAGUAUGGAUGUUAGUUUGUAUAGUAAAUUAUGAAUUUUAAUAUACACACACAUAUAUGUACAUGUAUAUGUAUAUGUGUGUGUGUGUAUUGUUUUGUUAAGUAUUUUGGUGGGAAGAGGAUAUUUGAACACAUUAUAAUAUUGAAUAGUGAUUUUUUUUCUAUCUCUCUACUUUCUCAUAGUCUUCUAUUUUUAUUUUAUAAUCAAAUCCUCCAUUGCUAUUGGCUUAUUGCAAUGGCUCUUUUUCUUUCUUUCUUUCUUCUUUUUUUUUUUUCCUUGAUUGAAAACUCUCAAAGUUCUAUCACUAAACAAUAGAAACAUAAGAUAGAGUGUAAAGAUCUCUAAUAUCAAUUAAAGCACAAAAUUCUCCAUAAAUCCAAAAACUUGAAAGAUCAUGGUGUGUAUGUGCAUGUCAGCACGUGUGUGUAGAAAAAAGACAGCUUUCAAAUGUGGAAUGUUGUUCCAAACUUGACAGUCCAAACAUGUGCAUGUGAUCAAUGUUAUUCCAAGUCAAUACACAUGUGAUCAAUGUUAUCCCAAGCCAAUACACAGUUGAACAUCGACCACAUGCAUAUACACAGAUUAUAAUAAAUUACACAUAUGAAAUUCAACAUAACAUAUUUUCACUUCAGCAAUAUGUCAUAGAUAAAAAAUUAUACAUAUCAAAAUCAAAUACUACAAAAUGGCCCAUUUAAAUUAAGGUCGAGCUCUCACCAAAUUUUUUUAACUUAUUUUUUUUGUUCAGGGCACAACAAAAAAUUUAUAAUCAGUGCUAUUGUAUUAUAAUCAAUUAAUCAAAUUGGUAAAAUGAGUUUCAAUUUUUUGUUCUCACUUCCACAAGUUGCAGGUUGUUUAAGUAAAAAGCAAAGCUUCAAAAAAUCUCUAUUUAUCUCUAAUAAGAAAAUCCUAAUUUGCCUAAAUCAUUUUCUCUCUAAAAAAAUAAUAUUUUUGGAGUGACAGGCAACAAACUUAAACAAAAUGGCAUUUGUAGUGAAAUCACUAUCAUGGCAAUGACAAUCGUGAACAAUAUCAUAUCAUUCAAAUAAUUACAUGCUAUUAAAAACAAUUAAUUAAAUCACUCAAGUAAUUACUCAAAUAAAACAAAUACCAGCAAGAUAUAGAGUCGAGCGAGCAGCAACAGUUGAGUUUGUUGAGACGGAGCAACAGUGGCUAGACAGAGACAAAGCAACAAUAGCUACGGUGGAGACAGAGCAGUGGCAGUGGCUGAGAUGAAGUAGCAACAGGGGCAGAGACGAAAUACAGCAGCUGGCACACCGAGAGAGAAUAGAUCGAGAGAAAUAAGGAGAGAAAAUGUUGUUGGAUGAAGAUAAAGGGGGAGAGAGUGCAGUUUGCUGUAACUGGAUCGAGAAAGGUGAGGGGGAAGAGAGAGCGUUGAUGAAGAGAUAAGGAUAAAGAGAUGGGUCACGAGAUUGUGGUUUUGUUUUUUAAUUAAUUUUUGGGUUUAGUUUUGUAAUAUUUGGAGAACAUGUUUAACAAGUUUUCAAUUUAUCAGUUAUAAUAAUGAAUCCGGAUUUUUUAUUUUGUAGUCUAUAUUUUGAAUACAAUCCACCGAACAUGUAUUAUAUAUGUCUUUUGAAAACAAAAAUGAAACAAUGAUUGGAAAAUGAUACCGAA